GUUGCUUGGGGGUAUUAU
This 18-nucleotide microRNA is filed under the name Schmidtea mediterranea. RNAcentral describes it as "sme-miR-754d". Its record names the gene sme-miR-754d. Lineage: Eukaryota; Metazoa; Platyhelminthes; Tricladida; Dugesiidae. The record is from miRBase by way of RNAcentral.